This is a long non-coding RNA of Dioscorea cayenensis subsp. rotundata (Guinea yam), 913 nucleotides long. RefSeq lists it as uncharacterized. The transcript has 2 exons. Lineage: Eukaryota; Viridiplantae; Streptophyta; Magnoliopsida; Dioscoreales; Dioscoreaceae. The record is from RefSeq and is a predicted model, not a curated record.
CCUUGCAUCUCUGAGUUAGUCUACCCGUUGCUGAUGUUGCUGCCGCUGCAAUCCCAAAUUGUACAUAUUUCUGUUUCAAGCCUUUCAGUUUACUGAUUUACUGAUGGCAAUAAAAUCUACUUUACAUUGGAACAUUGACAACCGUUGGUUUUUUGCAGGCAAAUCCUGGAUCUACAUAUCUAUACAGUUCUUUGGUAAUUCCUGAUCUAUAAAAGACCUCAACAACAUCUGCUGGUAAGAUUGGAAUCCAACAUUUAACUGAUGACUUGGGAGCAUGAGCAGAGGUUAUCAACUCAGGUUGAACUUGGUCCUUAUAAAAUAUGAUAUAACAAAGCCAAUAUCCAGAUAUAAGUUUGUGCAUUUGCAGGUGCCCUGAUCCUAUCAUUGUCCAUUGUCCAUGCUGCUAAUAUCCCUCCAAAGUUGCUAUUGCUGCUGACUGGAGAUGUUUGAGAUAGGGAGUAAGAUUAAGCCAUUUGUAUUGUGUGGCAGUGUUUCAUCGUCUCUAGCAUGACCGGAGGCAAACAAACAAUUUACAUAAUUUGAGUUGCAAGCUUUGCUAUGGCUGCCUGUUGUUCGACGGUCUCCAUCAUGAUGUGCUUCUCUUGUUGGAUGCCCGCCCACGCGCAGUUCACAUGGGCAUCGGGGCCUCGCUCUCGCCUCUGCCGCAUCUUCCAAUCAUUACUGCAAACAAUUUGCAGCCUCGACAAGGACUAUCUUGGUUCUUGCUAUUCAUUACUGUUCUUUUCCCUGCCUUCUCUGAAUGAACUAUGUAAUAACUAGAAACUACAAGGUUUUAGAUUAUUGGUCUCUGAUACACUAGGUUUUUUUGGAGUUAUGGAUUUUAAACUAAUUUGGAUUAAACUACCGAAGGUUAUAUAUAUAUUUGUUUAUAAUAAAGAUUGGAGUUGGAUUA